RNAcentral lists this ribosomal RNA (679 nucleotides) under bacterium enrichment culture clone SC-2_72. Its description in RNAcentral is "bacterial SSU rRNA". It matches the Rfam family "Bacterial small subunit ribosomal RNA", at positions 1 to 677 of the family's 1533-position model. The record is from RNAcentral.
UAGAGUUUGAUCCUGGCUCAGGAUGAACGCUAGCGGCAGGCUUAAUACAUGCAAGUCGAGGGGCAGCAGGACUGUAGCAAUACAGUUGCUGGCGACCGGCAAACGGGUGCGGAACACGUACGCAACCUUCCUUCAAAUGGGGGAUAGCCCACCGAAAGGUGGAUUAAUACCCCGUAAAAUUUUCUGGUGGCAUCACUGGAUUAUUAUAGCUCCGGCGUUUGAAGAUGGGCGUGCGGCUGAUUAGGUAGUUGGCGGAGUAACAGCCCACCAAGCCAACGAUCAGUAACUGGUGUGAGAGCACGACCAGUCACACGGGCACUGAGACACGGGCCCGACUCCUACGGGAGGCAGCAGUAAGGAAUAUUGGUCAAUGGACGCAAGUCUGAACCAGCCAUGCCGCGUGGAGGAUGAAGGUCCUCUGGAUUGUAAACUUCUUUUAUCGGAGAAGAAACCCUUACAUUCUUGUGAGGUUGACGGUACCCGAUGAAUAAGCACCGGCUAACUCCGUGCCAGCAGCCGCGGUAAUACGGAGGGUNNNAGCGUUAUCCGGAUUCACUGGGUUUAAAGGGAGCGUAGGUGGGUUGGUAAGUCAGUGGUGAAAUCUCCGGGCUUAACUCGGAAACUGCCGUUGAUACUAUCAAUCUUGAAUAUUGUGGAGGUAAGCGGAAUAUGUCAUGUA